GCCAGGCAUGUUGGCAUAUGCCUGUAAUCCCAGCUACUCAGGAGGCUGAGGCAGGAGAAUUGCUUGAACCCAGGAGGCGGAGGUUGCAGUGAGCUGACAUCGCGCCACUGCACUCCACCCUGGGUAACAGAGCGAGACUCUGUUUCAA
Molecule: signal recognition particle RNA, 148 nt
Filed under: Nomascus leucogenys (northern white-cheeked gibbon)
Lineage: Eukaryota; Metazoa; Chordata; Mammalia; Primates; Hylobatidae
Description: Metazoan signal recognition particle RNA
Rfam family: Metazoan signal recognition particle RNA
About the family: The signal recognition particle (SRP) is a universally conserved ribonucleoprotein. It is involved in the co-translational targeting of proteins to membranes.
Source: Rfam by way of RNAcentral